Molecule: ribosomal RNA, 405 nt
Filed under: uncultured bacterium
Lineage: Bacteria
Description: bacterial SSU rRNA
Rfam family: Bacterial small subunit ribosomal RNA
Source: RNAcentral
UGGGGAAUAUUGGGCAAUGGAGGCAACUCUGACCCAGCAACGCCGCGUGAAUGAUGAAGGUCUUCGGAUUGUAAAGUUCUGUGACGGGGGACGAACACAAUGACGGUACCCCGAUAGCAAGCCACGGCUAACUACGUGCCAGCAGCCGCGGUAAUACGUAGGUGGCAAGCGUUAUCCGGAAUGACUGGGCGUAAAGGGUGCGUAGGUGGUUUGGCAAGUUGGCGGCGUAAUUCCGAGGCUCAACCUCGGCGCUACCGCCAAAACUGUCGGACUUGAGUGCAGGAGGGGUAAGUGGAAUUCCUAGUGUAGCGGUGGAAUGCGUAGAUAUUAGGAGGAACAUCGGUGGCGAAGGCGACUUACUGGACUGUAACUGACACUGAGGCACGAAAGCGUGGGGAGCAAACA